Molecule: ribosomal RNA, 506 nt
Filed under: uncultured bacterium
Lineage: Bacteria
Description: partial 16S ribosomal RNA
Rfam family: Bacterial small subunit ribosomal RNA
Source: RNAcentral
AGUGAACGCUGGCGGUAGGCCUAACACAUGCAAGUCGAACGGCAGCACAGGAGAGCUUGCUCUCUGGGUGGCGAGUGGCGGACGGGCGAGGAAUACAUCGGAAUCUACUUUUUCGUGGGGGAUAACGUAGGGAAACUUACGCUAAUACCGCAUACGACCUACGGGUGAAAGCAGGGGACCUUCGGGCCUUGCGCGAUUGAAUGAGCCGAUGUCGGAUUAGCUAGUUGGCGGGGUAAAGGCCCACCAAGGCGACGAUCCGUAGCUGGCCUGAGAGGAUGAUCAGCCACAGUGGAACUGAGACACGGUCCAGACUCCUACGGGAGGCAACAGUGGGGAAUAUUGGACAAUGGGCGCAAGCCUGAUCCAGCCAUACCGCGUGGGUGAAGAAGGCCUUCGGGUUGUAAAGCCCUUUUGUUGGGAAAGAAAUCCAGCUGGCUAAUACCCGGUUGGGAUGACGGUACCCAAAGAAUAAGCACCGGCUAACUUCGUGCCAGCCGCCGCGGUAA